AGAUUGAACGCUGGCGGCAUGCCUUACACAUGCAAGUCGAACGGCAGCACGGGAGCAAUCCUGGUGGCGAGUGGCGAACGGGUGAGUAAUAUAUCGGAACGUGCCCAGUCGUGGGGGAUAACGCAGCGAAAGCUGUGCUAAUACCGCAUACGAUCUCUGGAUGAAAGCGGGGGACUCGCAAGGGCCUCGCGCGAUUGGAGCGGCCGAUAUCAGAUUAGCUAGUUGGUGGGUAAAAGCUCACCAAGGCGACGAUCUGUAGCUGGUCUGAGAGGACGACCAGCCACACUGGAACUGAGACACGGUCCAGACUCCUACGGGAGCAGCAGUGGGGAAUUUGGACAAUGGGCGCAAGCCUGAUCCAGCAAUGCCGCGUGCAGGACUGAAGGCCUUCGGUGUUAAACUGUCUUUUGGAACGGUAACGUAAACGGUUACCGUUUUAAUAAAGUAGGCUAAAGUGAACGGUUACCGUAAGAAUAAGACACCGGACUAACGUACGU
RNAcentral lists this ribosomal RNA (497 nucleotides) under uncultured soil bacterium. RNAcentral's name for it is "bacterial SSU rRNA". It matches the Rfam family "Bacterial small subunit ribosomal RNA", at positions 26 to 506 of the family's 1533-position model. The record is from RNAcentral.